Molecule: ribosomal RNA, 372 nt
Filed under: uncultured organism
Description: partial 16S ribosomal RNA
Rfam family: Bacterial small subunit ribosomal RNA
Source: RNAcentral
GUAGGUGGCAAGCGUUGUCCGGAAUUAUUGGGCGUAAAGCGCGCGCAGGCGGUUCUUUAAGUCUGAUGUGAAAGCCCACGGGCUCAACCGUGGAGGGUCAUUGGAAACUGGAGAACUUGAGUACAGAAGAGGAAAGCGGAAUUCCACGUGUAGCGGUGAAAUGCGUAGAGAUGUGGAGGAACACCAGUGGCGAAGGCGGCUUUCUGGUCUGUAACUGACGCUGAGGCGCGAAAGCGUGGGGAGCAAACAGGAUUAGAUACCCUGGUAGUCCACGCCGUAAACGAUGAGUGCUAAGUGUUAGGGGGUUUCCGCCCCUUAGUGCUGCAGCUAACGCAUUAAGCGCUCCGCCUGGGGAGUACGGCCGCAAGGCUG